Molecule: ribosomal RNA, 428 nt
Filed under: uncultured bacterium
Lineage: Bacteria
Description: bacterial SSU rRNA
Rfam family: Bacterial small subunit ribosomal RNA
Source: RNAcentral
UGGGGAAUUUUGGACAAUGGGCGCAAGCCUGAUCCAGCAAUGCCGCGUGCAGGACGAAGGCCUUCGGGUUGUAAACUGCUUUUGUACAGAACGAAAAGCCUUGGGUGAAUACCCUGAGGACAUGACGGUACUGUAAGAAUAAGCACCGGCUAACUACGUGCCAGCAGCCGCGGUAAUACGUAGGGUGCGAGCGUUAAUCGGAAUUACUGGGCGUAAAGCGUGCGCAGGCGGUUUUGUAAGACAGAGGUGAAAUCCCCGGGCUCAACCUGGGAACUGCCGUUGUGACUGCAAGGCUGGAGUGCGGCAGAGGGGGAUGGAAUUCCGCGUGUAGCAGUGAAAUGCGUAGAUAUGCGGAGGAACACCGAUGGCGAAGGCAAUCCCCUGGGCCUGCACUGACGCUCAUGCACGAAAGCGUGGGGAGCAAACAG